AGCUGACGACAGCCAUGCAGCACCUGUCACUUGGUUCCCUAAGGCACUCCUCUAUCUCUAAAGGAUUCCAAGGAUGUCAAGAGUAGGUAAGGUUCUUCGCGUUGCAUCGAAUUAAACCACAUGCUCCACCGCUUGUGCGGGCCCCCGUCAAUUCCUUUGAGUUUUAGCCUUGCGGCCGUACUCCCCAGGCGGAGAACUUAACGCGUUAGCUUCGACACCAAAGAGUAAACUCUCCAACGUCUAGUUCUCAUCGUUUACGGCGUGGACUACCAGGGUCUCUAAUCCUGUUCGCUACCCACGCUUUCGCACCUGAGCGUCAGUAUUGGGCCAGGAAGUCGCCUUCGCCACUGGUGUUCCUUCCGAUAUCUACGCAUUUCACCGCUACACCGGAAAUUCCACUUCCCUCUCCCAUACUCUAGCCUGACAGUUUCGAAUGCAAUUCCCAGGUUGAGCCCAGGGCUUUCACAUCCGACUGAUCAGGCCGCCUACGCGCGCUUUACGCCCAGUAAUUCCGAUUAACGCUCGCACCCUCCGUAUUACCGCGGCUGCUGGCACGGAGUUAGCCGGUGCUUCUUCUGUAGGUUACGUCAAGACCCGUGGUUAUUAACCCCGGGCAUUUCUUCUCUACUGAAAGUGCUUUACAACCCGCAGGCCUUCUUCACACACGCGGCAUUGCUGAAUCAGGGUUGCCCCCAUUGU
Molecule: ribosomal RNA, 699 nt
Filed under: uncultured bacterium
Lineage: Bacteria
Description: partial 16S ribosomal RNA
Source: RNAcentral